This 253-nucleotide ribosomal RNA is filed under the name uncultured bacterium. RNAcentral's name for it is "partial 16S ribosomal RNA". It matches the Rfam family "Bacterial small subunit ribosomal RNA", at positions 524 to 776 of the family's 1533-position model. The record is from RNAcentral.
UACAGAGGUCUCGAGCGUUGUUCGGAUUCAUUGGGCGUAAAGGGUGCGUAGGUGGUAUGGUAAGUCGGAUGUGAAAUCCCGGGGCUCAACCCCGGAACUGCAUUCGAUACUGCCGUGCUUGAGUACUGGAGAGGAGAUCGGAAUUUACGGUGUAGCAGUGAAAUGCGUAGAUAUCGUAAGGAAGACCAGUGGCGAAGGCGGAUCUCUGGACAGUUCCUGACACUGAGGCACGAAGGCCAGGGGAGCAAACGGG